AUUGAACGCUGGCGGCAGGCCUAACACAUGCAAGUCGAACGAGUGGCGGACGGGUGAGAAACGACUGGGAAACUGUCCGAUGGAGGGGGAUGAUUAUUGGAAACGGUAGCUAAUAGCGCAUAACAUCGGUUGUGCCAUGAUUGGAUUAGCUAGUAGGUGGGGUAACGGCACACCUAGGCGACGAUCCCUAGCUGGUCUGAGAUGAUGACCAGCCACACUGGAACUGAGACUCGUUCCAGACUCCUACGUGAGGCAGCAGUGGGGAAUAUUGCACAAUGGGCGCAAUCCUGAUGCAGCCAUGCCGCUUGUAUGAAGAAGUCCUUCGGGUUGUAAAGUACUUUCAGCGAGGAGGCGUUACUCGCAUAAUAGGCACCGGCUAACUCCGUGCCAGCAGCCGCGGUAAUUC
This 406-nucleotide ribosomal RNA is filed under the name uncultured bacterium. RNAcentral's name for it is "partial 16S ribosomal RNA". It matches the Rfam family "Bacterial small subunit ribosomal RNA", at positions 30 to 526 of the family's 1533-position model. The record is from RNAcentral.